GCAUGUUCAUGCAUCAUGUUUAUAUGUAAUACGUUGAUUGCACUAGUUACACGAAUAUGACGCAUUGCAUUAUUUACUGUUGAUGUGGAUGGACCAAGGCGACCCCAAUAGCCCUAGCUAUGUUAUGUUAAUGAAGUCCUGAGGAGCCCCUUGAGGGCCGGGCAUAAUGAAGACCUGAGGAGCCCGAAGGGCCGGGCACCAUGUUAUGUUACAGUCAGAGGGAGUUUUGGUGGUCAUGUCCAAUCCAUUAUGUGAAUUGUUUGUGCUGUGACGCAUUUCAUAAGAGCAUGUAAUUAAUGAACUGUUUUCCCUGUUUCUACUCACUGGGCUUUUUAGCUCACCCCUCUCCCCUAACCCCAGUGUUGCAUGUAUAAGGUCGCUCGGGAAGUCUCAAGAGUUAAGGUUGUGCUUAUGUAAUAGAUUAGAGUUGUGUGGACAUGUAAUGUAAAUUGAGAUAAUGGAUUGUAAGAUAAUGAAAUGUAAUGUAAUGCAAGUAAAGUAGAGUUAUGUUUAUGGAUUAAAACUGUGCUUGGCCCUAAGACUUGGUUAGUCCCUGUUUAGUACAUGAUGUAUGUUUUGGUUUAAUGUUGAGUUGAGUUGAACCAAACUAGUGGCAUGUAUUGUUUGCCACGCUAAAGUUUGAUGAGGACCCUAGUGGAGGUCUUAUGUCUGUGGUUUGAUGCAUGUACAGGUUAUGUUCUAGUUCUUUGGAUUUGACUCCGGCUUGAUGUAUGUUAUGUUGACCCAGCUAGAGUGUUGAUGAGGGCUCUAGUAGGGGGUUUCUUUAUGUUUUCAGUUAUGUUGCAUACAGGUCAAGCUCGGUAUUUACAUCAGAUGUUUAAGUUUUUAUGUUAAUGUUUUGAUCAUGUAUGGGAUUUGACCAGGUAAUAGGAUGUAUGUUUGGCUUGCUACGGGUCCCGGCGGCCUUAAGCCGAUCUGGAUCCUAGCACCGAUAGCGGUUCGGGCCGUUACAGAGUGGUAUCAGAGCUUUGGGCCUCAUUAGCACAGUGUGUUGAGCAAAGAUGCUCAAGGAUUAGAGAUAUCCCACAUCGGAACGAGGUUGGUUUAGAGGUCAUAGAAGGGCAAGCACAAUAGGAAGAAUCAUGUCCACUAGGAUAGGAUGUGGAGUCCUAUCUUGAAUGAUGAUAUGAAAUGCCAUGAUUUUAUGCAUGUGCAUUAAUGUUAUGUAUGAUAUGCUAUGUAUGCUAUGUAUGUUGCAGGUUCAUGUGUUUUCAUAUGAACCGUAUGAUGCUAAUGAUUGCUUAUAUGCUUGUGUGUUGUUCUUCAGAGGGGCCAGAAUGCGAGGCUUUCGUCGAUCUGUGGAAUCGACUGGAGUUCCAUCUGAGAGGAAAGGUAUGGACACCUUUCCCCCUGCUCUGCCAAGAGCGCAGUCGUGGGGAGUCAGCAGAUGGGGAACAUCGAGGGACCCUGGAAGGUCUUUUGAUGCAAGCAGAGAAGGAAUGGCUCCAAGAAGGAUGUCAGCUAGUAUGAGGGAAGUAGAGAUGGAUGUUCAGAGAAGAGAUUUCAGUUUGGGAAUCAGAGUGCCAGAAGAAGGUAUGGGAGUUUUUCAGGAGGAUGCUCAGACUCAGGAUUCCAGAAUUUCAAGUUUAGGAGGGAUUGAUCCCUCCACUUUGAGUACAGCCUCCACGAAAAGCAAGAAGUGGGGCAGAACCCUGAGGGGGAAGAAGAAGAAGUUUUGGAAGAAUUUGAAGGCUAGUCUGGGUUUUGGUGGCUCAAGCUCUAGCUCAGGCAGUUCAAGAUGCAUGAGGUGUGGAAGGCCGCACAAGGGAGUCUGUCUGAUUGGGACUAAUCUAUGUUUUAGAUGCGGUCAGGAAGGGCACAUGGUACGUGAGUGUCCCAUUGCGCCCUGGUUGGCACAGUCUCAGCGGGCAACUUCAGGUAGAGCGGCUCAGCCAGCAGCUCCAGCCAUGGUUCAGGACAGUGGUCGAGGCAGAGGAAGAGGGCAGCCUUGUCUUCUGAAGGUUCCCGUGGAGAAGGUCCGUCAGCUCCAGCUCGGAUCUUCAUCCAAGCUCAGCAGGAGGCAGACACAUCGAACAUGGUGGUGUCAGGUACGCUCACUUUUGAAUGUUCUGAUGUGCAUGUUUUGUGAACCCUAGAGUUUCUCUUUCUUUAGUUGCUCUAGGAGCCGUCGAGAGGUUGAGUUAAGAGCUUCUGGGCUAGAGUGUUCUCUUUGGGUCAGUGGACCCAAGUGUGAUCCAUCUGUGGCAGAGUCAGUCUGCAGGUCCAGUUCUGUGUCAGUUGAGGGUAGAUGCCUUCCACCCGACUUUGAGGUCCUAGACUUGACUGUCUGGAUGUCAGUUUAGGGUUGGACUGGGUUUUUCUACUCGUAGUGCUAUCUUGGUCUGUAGAGACAAGGUAGUCAGAUUUUGAGGACAGGAUGGGUCAGAGGUAGUCUUCUGAGGGAACACAGUAAGGAUGCCUAGAGGUUUGAUGUCGGCCUGUCAAGUUCGUGGGGUACGUAGGAGGGGUUGUCAGAGGGUUCGAGUUCUUGUUGAGAGUUUAGCAGUCAGGUCGGGGAACCAGCCUCAGUGUUAGUUGUUAGAGAGAGUUCUUAGUUGUUUUCCCAGGCAAGUUGUCAGGUUUACCACCUGUCAGGGAGUUAGAGUUUGGAGUAGGAGUGGUGUCUGGAUCCAGAACCAUUUCUUUCCUUUCCUAUAGGAUGGCGCCUGCGUAGAGAGAGGUAGUAGUCAGAGUAGAGGCGAGACUUGGUAGACAGGGGUUUUAUCCGACCUAGUACCUCACCCUGGAUUGUUCCAGUGUGGUGGUGGGAAAAGAAGGAUGAAUCCUUGAGACCUUGUAACGACUGUAAGCAGUUGGCCAAGGUCACUGCCGAGGGCAGGUAUUCCCAUGCAGGAUGGAUGAUCUAUUGGGACAGCUAGUAGGAGCUGUUUGUUUUUCAAGAUAGAUCUGAAAUCCGGGUACUACCUGUGAGAGUUAGAGUUAGUUUUGGGUUAGCAGUGAGAAGAAGCCAGUUAGUAAAGGUGAAGAGAAAAAGAGUAAGGAUCAGAGCAGCGCAGUGGAAGCGUGUUGUGUUUCAGGAGAAGGUUGGGUAUUGCUAAGGUGUUUCUUUUGGAAAAAGGUGUGCCUGGGAGACCCGGGAGUUCUUGCUCCAGCAGUACCUGUGUCUCUCUUUAGAGAGAGGUUUUAGGUUUUGCUUGCUUGUUGCUUGUUUAUGUAUGCUUGAUGUUAUGUUUUGAGAUUGCCUGUUUGUUUAUGGAACAUUCGGGGAUGAAUGUUCUUAAAGGGGGGAAGAAUGUAAUACCCGGCGAGAUUUCGGCAUCGGAAUCCCUACCUUCCGGCGGAAUCUCCGUUGGAAUCGGGAAUUCUGAAGAUGCCAGAGGCUUCUAGAGGGGUAAAAUGUGUUUUCUAAAAUGUUUUUACUGAUUUCAUGGUUUUAAAUGGAAAAGAAUUGAGUUUUUAAAAGAAAAGACCAAGGAGGCAUUUGCUAGGUUCGGCCGCCGAAAGUGAAGUUCGGGCGCCGAACAUGGAAAGGUUUUGGGAGCGCUUUUGGCCUCCGAAAUCUUUGUUUGAGCGAGCCAAGGUUCGGCCGCCGAACCUCAAGUUCGACCGCCGAACAUGCAUGAGUUUAGGGGGCACGUUAGGCUGCCGAAGGUCUUUGACCAGGCCACCUAUAAAGAGCCCUCAGAUCAGAAAUGGGCGAGUUUUCUCCCCAUUCUCGAGCUUAGGUGAGUCUUUGCCUUCCUUUGGUCAUUUUCAUGUUUUCUCUACCCAUCCCUCAAGUUUUUCAUGAUUUCUACCCUUGUUUUUAAGAUUUGAAGCUUAAGUAGGAGUUUUGGGAGCUUGGAGAUUGUUGGAGCUUGGAUCCUCCACACCUCCGAGUUAGGGAUCGCACCACCCCUCGAUCUUCAAGAGGUAAGUGUAGAUCUUUGCUUCCUUUGUGUUUUAAUGAAGUUUUAAGUAAGUUUAUUGGAGUUUUAAUGGUUGAGUAUGGGUAGAUGUGCAUGUUUAAGUUUAUGUGGGUUUUAUGCCCAAUGUAUGUUAAUGUAUGCUUAUGCCUAUUUAUGUGAUGUUAUGUUGAAGGUUUAAGCUAGUUUAUGCAUGUGGGAGAGUGUAUGCAUGAUUGGGAAAGAGCAAGUGAGGUUUUGAGUAGUUUUGAUGGUUUUGGCUUAUGUGGGUCAUAAGCUAUUUAUGUAUGCUUUGGGAUGUUCUUUGUUGGAGUUUAAGCUUGUUUAAACUCCUUUGUGCAUGGUUAAGGGUUUAUGCAUGUUUUGGUAAGGUUGGGUGCUUGUUUUGGGGUGUUUGGAAGGUUUGGGAGGCUUGAAUGCAUAAGAGGCUGAGUUCUGGACGAACUCAGGUUCGGCCGCCGAAGGUAGUUUCGGCCGCCGAACCUGCCUAUGGAUGCAUGGUUUGGCCGCCUAACCUUGCCCCCGAAAGUUGAGUUUUGGCUUGAAAGCAGACUUUCGGCCGCCGAAAGUGCCUGACUUUCGUCUCUGGAGAGGGACUUUCGGCCGCCGAAAGUGCCCGAGUUUCGUCUCUGGAGAGAAAGUUCGGCCGCCGAAGGUGCCGCCGAAAGUGCCCUGUCCAGCCUUUUCAUGGGUGUUUUCUAUGCAUGUUUAAGUGAUGUUUUAGGGGGUUUUUGGGUAGUUGUUUAUGAGUUGUUUAGAGUGUGUUUGGCACCUCAUUCGAGUCCACCUGUGUAGGAUCGGACCCGAGGGAUCGAGGAGGCCAUCAGUGUUAGCAGUUGCAGAGUCAGUUCAGCGUCUGCCAGAGGUGAGUAGAACUAAACUUAAUUUUAUUUUACGAAAUUCAAAUGCCUAAAGCAUGUUCAUGCAUCAUGUUUAUAUGUAAUAGGUUGAUUGCACUAGUUACACGAAUAUGACGCAUUGCAUUAUUUACUGUUGAUGUGGAUGGACCAAAGUGACCCCAAUAGCCCUAGCUAUGUUAUGUUAAUGAAGUCCUGAGGAGCCCCUUGAGGGCCGGACAUAAUGAAGACCUGAGGAGCCCGAAGGGCCGGGCACCAUGUUAUGUUACAGUCAGAGGGAGUUUUGGUGGUCAUGUCCAAUCCGUUAUGUGAAUUGUUUGUGCUGUGACGCAUUUCAUAAGAGCAUGUAAUUAAUGAACUGUUUUCCCUGUUUCUACUCACUGGGCUUUUUAGCUCACCCCUCUCCCCUAACCCCAGUGUUGCAGGUAUGAGGUCGCUCGGGAAGUCUCAAGAGUUAAGGU
Molecule: long non-coding RNA, 5205 nt
Filed under: Manihot esculenta (cassava)
Lineage: Eukaryota; Viridiplantae; Streptophyta; Magnoliopsida; Malpighiales; Euphorbiaceae
Description: long non-coding RNA (MESC_LNC005526)
Source: RNAcentral